AUUGAACGCUGGCGGCAUGCCUUACACAUGCAAGUCGAACGGCAGCACAGGAAUCGCUCUCGCUGACGGUGGGCGAGGGGCGGGUGAUGGAUCGGUACAUGGGAAUCUACGGGGGCUUGGGCGGCGACGGCGGGAAUCAUACGCCAUUACCGCAGACGGUCUACGGGUGAAAGCAGAAGGCCUUGGGACCUUGCGCGAGCCAAUGACGGGAUGUCGGAUUAGCUAGUUGGCGGGGUAAAGGCGCACCAAGGCGACGAUCCGUAGCUGGUCUGAGAGGACGACCAGCCACACUGGGACUGAGACACGGUCCAGACUCCUACGGGAGGCAGCAGUGGGGAAUUUUGGACAAUGGGCGCAAGCCUGAUCCAGCCAUGCCGCGUGGGUGAAGAAGGCCUUCGGGUUGUAAACCGCUUUUGUUCGGGAAGAAAUGCUGCAGGCUAAUACCCCGGUGUUAUGACGGUACCCAAAGAAUAAGCACCGGCUAACUACGUG
This 492-nucleotide ribosomal RNA is filed under the name uncultured bacterium. RNAcentral's name for it is "partial 16S ribosomal RNA". It matches the Rfam family "Bacterial small subunit ribosomal RNA", at positions 29 to 507 of the family's 1533-position model. The record is from RNAcentral.